CAAACAUGCAUUGGCGGUUGAUUUUACUGCUCAAUUCUACAACAAUAAAACCUGAAUUUCCAUGAAAACCAACUGCAUGUAAUAUUUACGGAUUAUCUAAUAAAUGCUUUGCACAAUGAAAUGAAGUUAUAAAUAAAGAGGGAUUUCAUCGCUUUUUUGUCUAUAAUGGCAGGAAGGGGCAGAGGGCAGCUCACUUUCUCUGUGGAGAUUGUUGGAAUCGGUAAAGGAGAAAAUCUCCCUCCAUCCUCCGUCCAGCCGACCCCUCUAUUCCCUCCUUUGGCUCAGAAGCCGGUGCCCCUGCAGACGGGUGAGGAGGCCGAGUACAUGCUGGCACUCAAACAGGAGUUCAGAGGAGCCAUGAAGACGCUUCCCUUUUACAUCCGUCCAGCUGCACCCAAGAAAGGUCAGUUCGGCGUCAAAGAUGAGCUCUGACAUCUUUAAAGGGGGCAUAUGACUUUGCUAAAAAGAACAUUAUGUUGUGUAUUUGGUGUAAUGCAAUGUGUUUAUGCGGUUUAAGGUUAAAAAAACACAUUAUUUUUCACAUAAUGUACAUUAUUGUUUCUCCUCUAUGCCCCGCCUUUCUGAAACGCGUCGAUUUUUACAAAGCUCAUCAUUCUGAAAAGCGAGGUGUGCUCUGAUUGGCCAGCUAUCCAGUGCAUUGUGAUUGGCCGAAUACCUCAAGCGUGUGACAGAAAUGUUACGCCCCUUACCAUAUUGUGAUGCCGUGUCAUGAGUUGAUGUUAUUAUGGGAGGAUGUUGCUGAUGUCAUUUCCACAGUCACAAACACGGUUUUGCUUAUAUGGUUGCAGAAAGCCCAGCUGUUCCCAAACAACCCAAACAGCCACGAGUGGACAAAGAGGAGAUCAUACGCAAACUGGAGACUCUGGAGCAGAAAGAGGAAGACGGGAGUUCUGAUGAAGAGGAGGGAGAGAAAAAGAAGCCAGAAGAGGAAGAGGCUGAGGGAGAGGAAGGGUAUGAUGAGGAGGAAUUUGAGGAUGAAACAGAUUACAUCAUGUCCUACUUUGACAAUGGGGACGAGUUUGGAGGAGACAGUGAUGAUAACAUAGAUGAAGCCAUUUACUGAAGCAGGUGACGGCGGCUCCAUAGCGCCCUCCUCCGGCCAGUGAGUGUCGCUGGAACUGCUCUGUCCCUCAGGACCGUUCUAGCUUGGAUCAUUAUGUUUGGCAGCUGAUGUUGAAAUCUGUAUGCAGUGGAUUUCCUCUCAUCCGAUCGGUUGGCAGGGUGGCUGAUUGCUGACAAAGAGCGUUUGAAUCCGAGGGUUACGGCUGGAGGACACAGAGAAGACACUGAGGCACAAACUUCUCUCUUAAUGCAGCUAUAUGUUCUUAGAGCUUUGUAAAUAAUUA
RNAcentral lists this long non-coding RNA (1367 nucleotides) under Sinocyclocheilus rhinocerous. RNAcentral's name for it is "lncRNA (ENSSRHG00000046243.1)". The record is from RNAcentral. Lineage: Eukaryota; Metazoa; Chordata; Actinopteri; Cypriniformes; Cyprinidae.